UACGAAGGGGGCUAGCGUUGCUCGGAAUCACUGGGCGUAAAGCGCACGUUAGGCGGCUUUUUAAGUCAGAGGUGAAAUCCUGGAGCUCAACUCCAGAACUGCCUUUGAUACUGGAGAGCUUGAGUCCGGGAGAGGUGAGUGGAACUGCGAGUGUAGAGGUGAAAUUCGUAGAUAUUCGCAAGAACACCAGUGGCGAAGGCGGCUCACUGGCCCGGUACUGACGCUGAGGUGCGAAAGCGUGGGGAGCAAACAGGG
This 255-nucleotide ribosomal RNA is filed under the name uncultured bacterium. RNAcentral describes it as "partial 16S ribosomal RNA". It matches the Rfam family "Bacterial small subunit ribosomal RNA", at positions 524 to 777 of the family's 1533-position model. The record is from RNAcentral.